RNAcentral lists this transfer RNA (72 nucleotides) under Camelus bactrianus (Bactrian camel). It matches the Rfam family "tRNA". Rfam says of the family: Transfer RNA (tRNA) molecules are approximately 80 nucleotides in length. Their secondary structure includes four short double-helical elements and three loops (D, anti-codon, and T loops). Further hydrogen bonds mediate the characteristic L-shaped molecular structure. tRNAs have two regions of fundamental functional importance: the anti-codon, which is responsible for specific mRNA codon recognition, and the 3' end, to which the tRNAs corresponding amino acid is attached (by aminoacyl-tRNA synthetases). tRNAs cope with the degeneracy of the genetic code in two manners: having more than one tRNA (with a specific anti-codon) for a particular amino acid; and 'wobble' base-pairing, i.e. permitting non-standard base-pairing at the 3rd anti-codon position. The record is from Rfam by way of RNAcentral. RNAcentral also lists the same sequence under 2 other names. Lineage: Eukaryota; Metazoa; Chordata; Mammalia; Artiodactyla; Camelidae.
AGGGUAACAGCUCAGUGGUAGAGCGCGUGCUUAGCAUGCAUGAAGUACUGGGUUCAAUCCCCAGUAGCUCCA